This is a long non-coding RNA of Vidua macroura (Pin-tailed whydah), 256 nucleotides long. RefSeq lists it as uncharacterized. NCBI's taxonomy places the organism in Eukaryota, Metazoa, Chordata, Aves, Passeriformes, Viduidae. The record is from RefSeq and is a predicted model, not a curated record. The transcript is spliced from 3 exons.
GCUAUGCCCAGUGGUUCUGUACUUCCCGUUUGUUGUCCCAGCUGCACAGAAAUGCCUGCCAGGAACAACAGAGAGCUGGGAACUGCUCACUUCUCUCCUCCUCAACCCCAUGUGGAAGGGCUUGUGAGCAGAGUUCUGACUUCGCAGUAUGAGGCAUGAGGAAUCAGAGCUGCAGAAGAACAAAAUGAAAUAAGUGUUAUCUGGCGAAGUUCAACUUCUGUAAUGCUGAGUUGGUGCAGGAAAAAAAUGAUUUGUG